GUGCUUACACAUGCAAGUCGAACGAUGAACCUCACUUGUGGGGGGAUUAGUGGCGAACGGGUGAGUAACACGUGAGUAACCUGCCCUUGACUCUGGGAUAAGCCUGGGAAACCGGGUCUAAUACUGGAUACGACCUUCCCGCGCAUGCGGUGUUGGUGGAAAGCUUUUGCGGUUUUGGAUGGACUCGCGGCCUAUCAGCUUGUUGGUGGGGUAAUGGCCUACCAAGGCGACGACGGGUAGCCGGCCUGAGAGGGUGACCGGCCACACUGGGACUGAGACACGGCCCAGACUCCUACGGGAGGCAGCAGUGGGGAAUAUUGCACAAUGGGCGCAAGCCUGAUGCAGCGACGCCGCGUGAGGGAUGAAGGCCUUCGGGUUGUAAACCUCUUUCAGUAGGGAAGAAGCUGGCCUUUGGGUUGGUGACGGUACCUGCAGAAGAAGCGCCGGCUAACUACGUGCCAGC
This 463-nucleotide ribosomal RNA is filed under the name Arthrobacter sp. RNAcentral's name for it is "bacterial SSU rRNA". It matches the Rfam family "Bacterial small subunit ribosomal RNA", at positions 44 to 512 of the family's 1533-position model. The record is from RNAcentral. Lineage: Bacteria; Bacillati; Actinomycetota; Actinomycetes; Micrococcales; Micrococcaceae.